UACGUAGGGGGCAAGCGUUGUUCGGAAUUACUGGGCGUAAAGGGCGCGUAGGCGGCACGGCAAGUCAGGAGUGAAAGGCCUGGGCUCAACCGAGGAACUGCUUUUGAGACUGCCGAGCUAGAGUGCAGAAGGGGCAACUGGAAUUCCCAGUGUAGCGGUGAAAUGCGCAGAUAUCGGGAAGAACACCUAUGGCGAAGGCAGCUCUCUGGGACGGUACUGACGCUGAGACGCGAAAGCGUGGGGAGCAAACAGG
This 253-nucleotide ribosomal RNA is filed under the name uncultured bacterium. RNAcentral's name for it is "partial 16S ribosomal RNA". It matches the Rfam family "Bacterial small subunit ribosomal RNA", at positions 524 to 776 of the family's 1533-position model. The record is from RNAcentral.